AUUUUUCCUGUAAUGGUUUUUUGUUUAAAUGUUUUUCGCCUAAGGAUGGGUCUGCGGCCGAUUAGGUAGUCGGUUAGGUAACGGCUUACCAAGCCGUUGAUCGGUACGGGUUGUGAGAGCAAGAGCCCGGAGAUGGAACCUGAGACAAGGUUCCAGGCCCUACGGGGUGCAGCAGGCGCGAAACCUCCGCAAUGUGAGAAAUCGCGACGGGGGGAUCCCAAGUGCCAUUCUUAACGGGAUGGCUUUUCAUUAGUGUAAAAAGCUUUUGGAAUAAGAGCUGGGCAAGACCGGUGCCAGCCGCCGCGGUAACACCGGCAGCUCUAGUGGUAGCAAUUUUUAUUGGGCCUAAAGCGUCCGUAGCCGGUUUAAUAAGUCUCUGGUGAAAUCCUGUAGCUUAACUGUGGGAAUUGCUGGAGAUACUAUUAGACUUGAGACCGGGAGAGGUUAGAGGUACUCCCAGGGUAGAGGUGAAAUUCUGUAAUCCUGGGAGGACCGCCUGUUGCGAAGGCGUCUAACUGGAACGGUUCUGACGGUGAGGGACGAAAGUUAGGGGCGCGAACCGGAUUAGAUACCCGGGUAGUCCUAACUGUAAACGAUGCGGACUUGGUGUUGGGGUGGCUUUGAGCUGCUCCAGUGCCGAAGGGAAGCUGUUAAGUCCGCCGCCUGGGAAGUACGGUCGCAAGACUGAAACUUAA
Molecule: ribosomal RNA, 695 nt
Filed under: uncultured archaeon
Lineage: Archaea
Description: bacterial SSU rRNA
Rfam family: Archaeal small subunit ribosomal RNA
Source: RNAcentral